Hordeum vulgare subsp. vulgare (domesticated barley) is the source of this 408-nucleotide long non-coding RNA. RefSeq lists it as uncharacterized. The transcript is spliced from 3 exons. The record is from RefSeq and is a predicted model, not a curated record. NCBI's taxonomy places the organism in Eukaryota, Viridiplantae, Streptophyta, Magnoliopsida, Poales, Poaceae.
CCACCCACGACCCUCCCCCUAGGGUUUCGGGUGCCGGCUCCGGUGCCGAUGGCCAUGGCAUCCUCCUCUCAUUCGGGAGGAACUAGCUGUGUGUGAACUCCACCAUGACGCUGCUGAUGGUGAUGAUGUGAUGUGCCGCGGCAUCGACGAGGAUGUGCUAAGGCGGGAAGUUGAAAGGGAAUACAUGACCAUGAAACUCGAUGGCACGGUGCUGGGGGUGGAGGACAUGGCCAACACGGCGCUGUAUGUGGAGUCAGACGAGGCUAGGGAGCUCUCAAACUGCACAGAGUCAAGAUUAAUGCUAUGCUCCCAUCAAUGAUUCCAGCGGAAGAUAUUUGUAACCUCAAGUGUUAUACAAGGUUACUAUCGCAUUGCUGAAUUUAGAGCAGAACACAACCACCAGCCAGC